This 1085-nucleotide ribosomal RNA is filed under the name uncultured bacterium. Its description in RNAcentral is "partial 16S ribosomal RNA". It matches the Rfam family "Bacterial small subunit ribosomal RNA". The record is from RNAcentral.
CCGGAAACGGCCAGUAUUUCAAGGAGUCUUAUGCAGCCCAGGAUUCAGUUCGAUCUAGCAGCCAGCGGUACCGACGAUUCGAGUCGUAGUCUAGUUUAGUGGAAUAAAAAUAGCUACUUAUGUCGGACUACUGAUGAGGGGGUUAGAUCCAAAGAGACGGUCAUCCUAGAUUUUGCAGACCCAAGGCGAGCGAUCACCUGUUAACUGACAUGAUGACGAAGCUAGUACGAAUGGAUAGAGACCCCAGUAGUCACGCAGUAAUCGAUGAGUGCUAAAUGUUGAGAAAAGGUAAUGACUCUACAAUAUGUGAUUCGAGAAAAGGUAGUUCAAGAAAACUGUUUUCGAAAGAUUAUCUUUUUUUUGAAUUACUGUAAGUUUUUGCUACGUUGAAAUUGGUUUCAUGGCGUAAAAUUCAUUUGAAUGCAAUGACACGCCAACAACGUAAAAACCUCAAGUGUUACAGCUAACGCGUUAAGCACUCCGCCUGGGGAGUACGGUCGCAAGACUAAAACUCAAAGGAAUUGGCGGGGAUUUAUACAAGCGGUGGAACAUGUGGUUUAAUUCGAUAAUACGCGCAAAACCUUACCAGUUCUUGACAGCUUGGUAUUCGUACCAAGCACAGGUGUUGCAUGGCUGUCGUCAGUUCGUGUUGUGAGAUGUUGGGUUAAGUCCUUUAACGAACGUAACCUUUGUUUUCAGUAGGGAGAUACGAGAUUGUAUUAUACCCUGAAAAUACUGCAGGUAAAAAGCCUGAGGAAGGUGAAGAUGACGUCAAGUUUCAUGGCCCUUAUGAACUGGGCUACACACAUGUUACAAUGGCAACUACAGAGGGAAGCAAUGAUGAAAGUCGGAGCAAAGCCGAAAAGGUUGCCUUAGUUCGGAUUGUAGGCUGCAACUCGCCUACAUGAAGUUGGAAUCGCUAGUAAUCGCGGAUCAGAACGCCGCGGUGAAUAUGUUCCCGGGCCUUGUACACACCGCCCGUCACGUCAUGAAAGUCGGUAACACCCGAAGCCGGUGGCCUAACCCUUGUGGAGGGAGCUGUCGAAGGUGGGAUCGGCGAUUGGGACGAAGUCGUAACAAGGUAA